GGGAUUGCCCUAGUAACGGCGAGUGAAGCGGCAACAGCUCAAAUUUGAAAUCUGGCUCUUUCAGAGUCCGAGUUGUAAUUUGCAGAGGGUGCUUUGGUGGUAGUUGCGGUCUAAGUUCUUUGGAACAGGACGUCACAGAGGGUGAGAAUCCCGUAUGUGGUCGCUACUUAUCACCGUGUAAAGCCCCUUCGACGAGUCGAGUUGUUUGGGAAUGCAGCUCUAAAUGGGAGGUAAAUUUCUUCUAAAGCUAAAUACUGGCCAGAGACCGAUAGCGCACAAGUAGAGUGAUCGAAAGAUGAAAAGCACUUUGGAAAGAGAGUCAAAUAGCACGUGAAAUUGUUGAAAGGGAAGCGCUUGUAGCCAGACUUGCCUGUAGUUGCUUACCUAGACUUUUGUCUGGGGUACUCUUCUGCAGGCAGGCCAGCAUCAGUUUGGGCGGUUGGAUAAAGGUCUCUGUCACGUACCUCCUUUCGGGGAGGCCUUAUAGGGGAGACGUCAUACAACCAGCCUGGACUGAGGUCCGCGCAUCUGCUAGGAUGCUGGCGUAAUGGCUGUAAGCGGCCCGUCUUGAAACACGGACCAAGGAGUCUAACAUCUAUGCGAGUGUUUGGGUGUCAAGCCCAUACGCGUAAUGAAAGUGAACGGAGGUGGGAACCUUAGGGUGCACCAUCGACCGAUCCUGAUGUCUUCGGAUGGAUUUGAGUAAGAGCAUGGCUGUUGGGACCCGAAAGAUGGUGAACUAUGCUUGAAUAGGGUGAAGCCAGAGGAAACUCUGGUGGAGGCUCGCAGCGGUUCUGACGUGCAAAUCGAUCGUC
Molecule: ribosomal RNA, 815 nt
Filed under: Setophoma terrestris
Lineage: Eukaryota; Fungi; Ascomycota; Dothideomycetes; Pleosporales; Phaeosphaeriaceae
Description: partial large subunit ribosomal RNA
Rfam family: Eukaryotic large subunit ribosomal RNA
Source: RNAcentral